This 253-nucleotide ribosomal RNA is filed under the name uncultured bacterium. Its description in RNAcentral is "partial 16S ribosomal RNA". It matches the Rfam family "Bacterial small subunit ribosomal RNA", at positions 524 to 776 of the family's 1533-position model. The record is from RNAcentral.
UACAGAGGGUGCGAGCGUUAAUCGGAAUUACUGGGCGUAAAGCGUGCGUAGACGGUUAUUUAAGUCGGGUGUGAAAGCCCCGGGCUCAACCUGGGAAUUGCAUUCGAGACUGAAUAGCUAGGGUACGGUAGAGGGAAGUGGAAUUUCCGGUGUAGCGGUGAAAUGCGUAGAUAUCGGAAGGAACAUUAGUGGCGAAAGCGACUUCCUGGACCAGUAACGACGUUCAGGCACGAAAGCGUGGGGAGCAAACAGG